Molecule: long non-coding RNA, 485 nt
Filed under: Homo sapiens (human)
Lineage: Eukaryota; Metazoa; Chordata; Mammalia; Primates; Hominidae
Description: HSALNT0320931
Source: RNAcentral
UUUCUGUCUGCCUCUCAUUGGCAAACAUGACAUUUCAGCAAUUUCUCUAAAGAGGAAUGACUGGGGGGUAUGUACAGCAGGCAUCAUGUAAGAAAAACUCACACCUCACGACAUAUUUGUUUGAUUUAUUCAGCAGACUUCAGCAAAGGAAAGAUGUGAAAGCAACCCUUGAUUGUUGAUUUUUUGUUCAUUCUGAAAAUCACAUCGCCAGAUCCAACACCUUUUUAUCCCAAUCACCAGUACAAGCCACCCGUAUCAGUGUACACUGUGGCUGACCGAUCCAUAGUGAUGCUUUGAGCUCUGGUAGAUGUGAUUAUGCCCAUUUUACAGAUGACAAACUGAAGUUCAGUCUUUAAGUGAUUUUUCUUGAUGCAGUAAUGAGUAUGAAAACUAUGAAGCUCUGUAGAACUUGAAGAACUACUAUAUUGUCAGAAUAAAUUAAAAUGCUCAUGCUUCAUUCCAUCUUUUUGAGCUGUUUGAAGAUU